GGACUUAAAGACUGUUCAAAGGGCUUGAGCUUUCAUUCUAAGUGAAAAGGGAAGCUAUGCCAGUCCUGGUGUCUGAGUGAUU
Molecule: small nucleolar RNA, 82 nt
Filed under: Otolemur garnettii (small-eared galago)
Lineage: Eukaryota; Metazoa; Chordata; Mammalia; Primates; Galagidae
Description: Small nucleolar RNA SNORD86 (ENSOGAG00000022834.1)
Source: RNAcentral